Molecule: ribosomal RNA, 277 nt
Filed under: uncultured bacterium
Lineage: Bacteria
Description: partial 16S ribosomal RNA
Rfam family: Bacterial small subunit ribosomal RNA
Source: RNAcentral
UUUCUCCGCCGGCGACCGGGGCGCACGGGUGAGUAACACGUAUGCAACCUGCCCCUGUCAGGGGGACAACCCGCCGAAAGGCGGGCUAAACCCGCGUACAUGCCACCGGGGCAUCCCGGAGGCAGGAAAGGCUUCGGCCGGACAGGGAUGGGCAUGCGGCGCAUUAGGCAGUAGGCGGGGUAACGGCCCACCUAACCGACGAUGCGUAGGGGUUCUGAGAGGAAGGUCCCCCACACUGGUACUGAGACACGGACCAGACUCCUACGGGAGGCAGCAG